UACGUAGGGUGCAAGCGUUGUCCGGAAUUAUUGGGCGUAAAGAGCUCGUAGGCGGCUUGUCACGUCGGAUGUGAAAACCCAAGGCUCAACCUUGGGCCUGCAUUCGAUACGGGCAGGCUAGAGUUCGGUAGGGGAGACUGGAAUUCCUGGUGUAGCGGUGAAAUGCGCAGAUAUCAGGAGGAACACCGGUGGCGAAGGCGGGUCUCUGGGCCGAUACUGACGCUGAGGAGCGAAAGCGUGGGGAGCGAACAGG
RNAcentral lists this ribosomal RNA (253 nucleotides) under uncultured bacterium. RNAcentral describes it as "partial 16S ribosomal RNA". It matches the Rfam family "Bacterial small subunit ribosomal RNA", at positions 524 to 776 of the family's 1533-position model. The record is from RNAcentral.